Molecule: ribosomal RNA, 406 nt
Filed under: uncultured bacterium
Lineage: Bacteria
Description: partial 16S ribosomal RNA
Rfam family: Bacterial small subunit ribosomal RNA
Source: RNAcentral
AUUGAACGCUGGCGGCAGGCCUAACACAUGCAAGUCGAACGAGUGGCGGACGGGUGAGUAAUGUCUGGGAAACUGCCCGAUGGAGGGGGAUAACUACUGGAAACGGUAGCUAAUACCGCAUACCAUCGGAUGUGCCCAGAUGGGAUUAGCUUGUAGGUGAGGUAACGGCUCACCUAGGCGACGAUCCCUAGCUGGUCUGAGAGGAUGACCAGCCAGACUGGAACUGAGACACGGUCCAGAAGCCUACGUGAGGCCGCAGUGGGGAAGAGUGCAUAAUGGGCGCAAGCCGGAUGCAGCCAUGCCGGGUGUAGGAAGAAGGCCGUCGGGUUGUAAAGUACUUGCAGCGGGGAGUCGUUACCCGCAGAAGAAGCACCGGCUAACUCCGUGCCAGCAGCCGCGUUAAUAC